Molecule: ribosomal RNA, 448 nt
Filed under: uncultured bacterium
Lineage: Bacteria
Description: bacterial SSU rRNA
Rfam family: Bacterial small subunit ribosomal RNA
Source: RNAcentral
GAGCGGCAGCGCGGGGGCAACCCUGCCGGCGAGCGGCGAACGGGUGAGUAAUACAUCGGAACGUGUCCAGUUGUGGGGGAUAACCAGUCGAAAGACUGGCUAAUACCGCAUACGAUCUACGGAUGAAAGCGGGGGAUCGCAAGACCUCGCGCUAUUGGAGCGGCCGAUGUCCGAUUAGCUAGUUGGCGGGGUAAAAGCCCACCAAGGCGACGAUCGGUAGCUGGUCUGAGAGGAUGAUCAGCCACACUGGAACUGAGACACGGUCCAGACUCCUACGGGAGGCAGCAGUGGGGAAUUUUGGACAAUGGGGGCAACCCUGAUCCAGCCAUGCCGCGUGAGUGAAGAAGGCCUUCGGGUUGUAAAGCUCUUUCGGCGGGGACGAAACGGUCCGCGCCAACACCGCGGACUAAUGACGGUACUCGCAGAAGAAGCACCGGCUAACUACGUG